AUGCAGAAGUUCUUCCAGGCGCAGAGCCGGGUGUGGGUCAUGACGCUCAUCUCCGGCGCCUUCGUCGCCGUGCACGCGCUGCUCAACUGGGUCGUCGUCGACGUAGCCAGGCUCCGUCGCGGCCUCGUCGGGGCGGCCGUGGUGGGCAACGUGUCGUGGUGGCUCCUCGGUUCGGCGCAGUUCGCGUACGUCAUCGGCGGGUCCUUCCCGGAGGCGUGGAGAGGGUUCUCGCGGAAGGCGCUCGCCAGCCUCGGCGGCUUCGUCACGUUCUCCCUCGCGUCGCCCGUCAUGCUGUGGUUCGUAUCUUCUUUCUCGGCCAAUUAUGGAUGA
Molecule: ribosomal RNA, 330 nt
Filed under: Triticum aestivum (bread wheat)
Lineage: Eukaryota; Viridiplantae; Streptophyta; Magnoliopsida; Poales; Poaceae
Description: partial small subunit ribosomal RNA
Source: RNAcentral